AACGAACGCUGGCGGCAUGCCUAACACAUGCAAGUCGAACGAGGCCUUCGGGUCUAGUGGCGCACGGGUGCGUAACGCGUGGGAACCUGCCCUUAGGUUCGGAAUAACUCCCCGAAAGGGGUGCUAAUACCGGAUAAUGUCUUCGGACCAAAGAUUUAUCGCCUUUGGAUGGGCCCACGUUGGAUUAGCUAGUUGGUAGGGUAAAAGCCUACCAAGGCGACGAUCCAUAGCUGGUCUCAGAGGAUGAUCAGCCACACUGGGACUGAGACACGGUCCAGACUCCUACGGGAGGGAACAGUGGGGAAUAUUGGAAAAUGGGGGAGUGCCUGAUGCAGCCAGGCGGCGGGUGUGAAGAAGGUCUUCGGAUUCGAAAGUGAUUGAAGUUGGGAGGAAGGGAAGUAAGUUAAUACCUUGCUGUUUUGACGUUGCAGAAAGAAUAAGCACCGGCUAGCUCUGUG
RNAcentral lists this ribosomal RNA (458 nucleotides) under uncultured bacterium. RNAcentral describes it as "partial 16S ribosomal RNA". It matches the Rfam family "Bacterial small subunit ribosomal RNA", at positions 29 to 507 of the family's 1533-position model. The record is from RNAcentral.